This is a long non-coding RNA of Cebus imitator (Panamanian white-faced capuchin), 1296 nucleotides long. RefSeq lists it as uncharacterized. The transcript is spliced from 4 exons. The record is from RefSeq and is a predicted model, not a curated record. Lineage: Eukaryota; Metazoa; Chordata; Mammalia; Primates; Cebidae.
UGGGUGCCUAGGCCAUGCCAGCCUGCAUUCAUCUGUACCAUGACCUGAAGAGGCAGAGGCCAUGAUCGCUGGUCCAGUCCUCACCUGGGGAAACUGAGGUUACACAGUUGAGUGGUGGAGUGGGGGCAGGGACUGGGCCUGACCCUAGAGAUGAGGUUUUGCGUUCAGGUGUCUCCGUGGUGAUGAGCAGGGCUUCAUUCAGUGCCCCUGUCCCCACCGAGGGGACUAUGGGAGCCAUGGAGGGUGUGUGAACAGGAGGUGAGACUGGAGCCAGCCGGAAGCUGGGAGACCCCACAGGCAUACACGGACCAGGUUGCAGUUCUGCAUUGGGCCACCAGGGGACGCCCCAGCCAACAAACAAUAUUGGUUUCUGUCCUGGCACCGGCAGGAAACGGGCUCCUACUUCCAGAAAAAGUGCUCCUGCAACUCCAGGAUGCCAGGCAUCUGGAUUAAGGUACAACACUUAACAACAGCCUUGGAUUUGGGAAAGGAAUGUCAGCGUUGUGCGGCUCAGUCUCCAGACCUAACUUUCCCUUUGGGACGAACUCAGUGGCUCAUGCCUGUAAUCCCAGCACUUCGGGAGGCUGAGGCAGGAGGAUCGCUUGAGCCCAAAAGUUCAAGACUAGCCUGAGCAACAAAGAAAACGCAAUAUACGGAAGGGGCUUAGCUUAGCGCUUCGUACAUGACAGCUCCCCGUCAGAGUUCGCUCUCGUCAUUUGAUUGGCCUUUGGAGAAGUCUUUGCAAGUUUUUUGCCUGUCUGACACCCAUGGCGACACCUGAACAGACAUCCCUGCUCCUGUGGCCCCACCAAAAAGCGAUUUAGCCUUCCGGAGGUCAGUUUCAACCCCCUACGAUUUCAUCUCUGCCCCAACCACUGAUCAAACAGCCAUCAUCUGUUAUCUGGCCUCCCCCACCCCGUUCCCCGAACUGCCCUUGAAAAACCCCUAUUAGCUUAGUGAGGUUUUUGGGGUUUUUUUUGAGACACCAUUUCACUCUGUCGCCCAGGCUCGAGUGCAGUGGUGCAAUCACAGCUCACUGCAACCUGCAAGUUGGCUCACUGCAUCCUUGGCGUUAUCAAUACUGCGCAAAGUCCUUUUCAGCAGACAGCAUAAACCCUAUCCUGUAAAAUCUCUAGCAAGCCUUUGUUUCUUUACAGCCAGUUUCUUUCUGCUGGCUGCCCACUGUCUUCCUAGCAAUGUAUUUUCCUACUUUCCCUUUUUUUUUGAGGACUCGUCUCGCUAUGCCACCCAGGCUGGAGUGCAGUGAUAUGAUCUCGGCUUACUGCAAUCUGCGCC